RNAcentral lists this ribosomal RNA (573 nucleotides) under Parabacteroides distasonis. Its description in RNAcentral is "bacterial SSU rRNA". It matches the Rfam family "Bacterial small subunit ribosomal RNA", at positions 1 to 557 of the family's 1533-position model. Lineage: Bacteria; Pseudomonadati; Bacteroidota; Bacteroidia; Bacteroidales; Tannerellaceae. The record is from RNAcentral. RNAcentral also lists the same sequence under 1 other name.
CUUUUACAAUGAAGAGUUUGAUCCUGGCUCAGGAUGAACGCUAGCUACAGGCUUAACACAUGCAAGUCGAGGGGCAGCAUUUUAGUUUGCUUGCAAACUAAAGAUGGCGACCGGCGCACGGGUGAGUAACACGUAUCCAACCUGCCGAUAACUCGGGGAUAGCCUUUCGAAAGAAAGAUUAAUAUCCGAUGGUAUAUUAAAACCGCAUGGUUUUACUAUUAAAGAAUUUCGGUUAUCGAUGGGGAUGCGUUCCAUUAGUUUGUUGGCGGGGUAACGGCCCACCAAGACUACGAUGGAUAGGGGUUCUGAGAGGAAGGUCCCCCACAUUGGAACUGAGACACGGUCCAAACUCCUACGGGAGGCAGCAGUGAGGAAUAUUGGUCAAUGGACGAGAGUCUGAACCAGCCAAGUAGCGUGAAGGAUGACUGCCCUAUGGGUUGUAAACUUCUUUUAUAUGGGAAUAAAGUAUUCCACGUGUGGGAUUUUGUAUGUACCAUAUGAAUAAGGAUCGGCUAACUCCGUGCCAGCAGCCGCGGUAAUACGGAGGAUCCGAGCGUUAUCCGGAUUUAUUGG